Molecule: ribosomal RNA, 540 nt
Filed under: Erwinia sp. S-PS-GR1
Lineage: Bacteria; Pseudomonadati; Pseudomonadota; Gammaproteobacteria; Enterobacterales; Erwiniaceae
Description: bacterial SSU rRNA
Rfam family: Bacterial small subunit ribosomal RNA
Source: RNAcentral
AGCGGUGGAGCAUGUGGUUUAAUUCGAUGCAACGCGAAGAACCUUACCUGGCCUUGACAUCCAGAAUUGCAGAGAUGCUUGUGCCUUCGGGAACUGAGACAGGUGCUGCAUGGCUGUCGUCAGCUCGUGUUGUGAAAUGUUGGGUUAAGUCCCGCAACGAGCGCAACCCUUAUCCUUUGUUGCCAGCGAUUCGGUCGGGAACUCAAAGGAGACUGCCGGUGAUAAACCGGAGGAAGGUGGGGAUGACGUCAAGUCAUCAUGGCCCUUACGGCCAGGGCUACACACGUGCUACAAUGGCGCAUACAAAGAGAAGCGACCUCGCGAGAGCAAGCGGACCUCAUAAAGUGCGUCGUAGUCCGGAUUGGAGUCUGCAACUCGACUCCAUGAAGUCGGAAUCGCUAGUAAUCGUAGAUCAGAAUGCUACGGUGAAUACGUUCCCGGUCCUUGUACACACCGCCCGUCACACCAUGGGAGUGGGUUGCAAAAGAAGUAGGUAGCUUAACCUUCGGGAGGGCGCUUACCACUUUGUGAUUCAUGACU